This 71-nucleotide transfer RNA is filed under the name Marmota monax (woodchuck). RNAcentral describes it as "tRNA.Ala". It matches the Rfam family "tRNA". Rfam says of the family: Transfer RNA (tRNA) molecules are approximately 80 nucleotides in length. Their secondary structure includes four short double-helical elements and three loops (D, anti-codon, and T loops). Further hydrogen bonds mediate the characteristic L-shaped molecular structure. tRNAs have two regions of fundamental functional importance: the anti-codon, which is responsible for specific mRNA codon recognition, and the 3' end, to which the tRNAs corresponding amino acid is attached (by aminoacyl-tRNA synthetases). tRNAs cope with the degeneracy of the genetic code in two manners: having more than one tRNA (with a specific anti-codon) for a particular amino acid; and 'wobble' base-pairing, i.e. permitting non-standard base-pairing at the 3rd anti-codon position. The record is from RNAcentral. Lineage: Eukaryota; Metazoa; Chordata; Mammalia; Rodentia; Sciuridae.
GGGGUUGUAACUCAGUGGUAGAGUGCUUGCCUAGCAUGUAUGAGGCACUGGGUUCAAUCCUCAGCACCACA